This 253-nucleotide ribosomal RNA is filed under the name uncultured bacterium. Its description in RNAcentral is "partial 16S ribosomal RNA". It matches the Rfam family "Bacterial small subunit ribosomal RNA", at positions 524 to 776 of the family's 1533-position model. The record is from RNAcentral.
GACAGAGGUGCCGAGCGUUAGGCGGAAUCACUGGGCUUAAAGCGUGUGUAGGCGGGUCGUUAAGUGUCUUGUGAAAUCCCACCGCUCACCGGUGGAACGGCUGGGCAUACUGGCGACCUUGAGAGGCCUAGGGGCAGACGGAACAAGCGGUGGAGCGGUGAAAUGCGUAGAUAUCGCUUGGAACGCCGACGGCGAAAGCAGUCUGCUGGGGGCCUUCUGACGCUGAGACACGAAAGCCAGAGGAGCGAACGGG